RNAcentral lists this long non-coding RNA (549 nucleotides) under Accipiter nisus (Eurasian sparrowhawk). RNAcentral describes it as "lncRNA (ENSANIG00000002048.1)". Lineage: Eukaryota; Metazoa; Chordata; Aves; Accipitriformes; Accipitridae. The record is from RNAcentral.
AGAGAAACCAGGGCUGACAUUUAACUGCCCCUGGGAAAAGAGGAGGAAAUUAAUACAGUGGGUAUGGAAGACAGAGUCUUGACACAGCAAGAAGAAACAAGAGGCAGAAAAGAGGUGAAUGACUGGAUGACGAUAAAACUAACUCCAGGCGUGUGGUACUGGAAGGAUGAUACUAACACACUUGAAUUUGCAAGCUCCAACCGAGCAGCUGAGGAAAACCUUAAGGAAGGACAAAAUAUUCCCUUUCAGGAAAUGCGUGUCAAGACUUUAAAGAGCAUCUUUCGAGGUGAUUGCAGUGCAACUCUCCCUGAAAGAAGGCUGGCUGACAAAGAAGGAAAAUUGCAUAGGCUGUCCAAGUGGCUACAACAUGAAUAUGUGACGUUGGAUGACGUCAAAUAUGCUGCUUUGCUUUUGAAAGAAGCAAAUAAGUCACAUCCCAUGUUGCCAUUUGCAGCAGUUAUCAGGUAUGUCAUUUAGAGUCUGGUUCAAGAAUUAUGUGUGUGUGUAGCUGGUAGUGGAGGGACCAGGGUGUAUGGGAAGUAGAAUAUG